CGUGGUCCCGUCGACCCGGAAACGUGAACCCCGCCAGGCCCGAGAGGGAGCAACGGUAGCGCGGAAGGGUGUGGCGGGGCCUUUCCC
RNAcentral lists this signal recognition particle RNA (87 nucleotides) under Labilithrix sp. RNAcentral describes it as "signal recognition particle sRNA small type". It matches the Rfam family "Bacterial small signal recognition particle RNA". Rfam says of the family: The signal recognition particle (SRP) is a universally conserved ribonucleoprotein involved in the co-translational targeting of proteins to membranes. Archaeal SRP consists of a 7S RNA and homologues of the eukaryotic SRP19 and SRP54 proteins. Lineage: Bacteria; Pseudomonadati; Myxococcota; Polyangiales; Labilitrichaceae. The record is from RNAcentral.